GGUAAAGAUCAGUACAUCCUUAUUACACUAAGUAAAGCUUGGAUUGAUGCUCGUGACUACUGCAGAACAAACUACACAGACCUGACCAGUCUAAGGAAUGACGCUGAGUACCAGGUGGUCCAGGAAGUAGCCAGUGGAUUUGAGGUCUGGGUUGGACUCUUCAGAGACCCCUGGGAGUGGUCAGACCAAAGUGAUUCGUUGUUCAGAUACUGGAAAGCAAACAAACCAGUGUGGACUGAGAGUUACAGCUGUGGUGCCUUGGUGAAGCUGGAAUCAGGAAGAUGAACUGGCUUGUGAGGACACAUAUCCAUUCCUCUGUGACUGCAGAAUAAAGUUGAGGAUCAUUCAUAUGAAGACGAUCUCACAGGAUUCAGUGUCAGAACUCGAGAACUCUUUAGUACAAGAAAACAUGUUGAAGCAAAUGAAGCAGCAACUAAGGAAUAAGAAUGUGAGCGCAAAUAUUCAACUAGAGUGGAGAAAACAAGAUGAUGGGAGAGUUUUUAUCAAUGAACCCUAAAGAAACAGCUGAAGAGAGAAGAAUCAGGCCAACAGACUGUUUUUGAAUAUUGAAUAAAUCAUAUAU
Molecule: long non-coding RNA, 583 nt
Organism: Pelmatolapia mariae (spotted tilapia)
Lineage: Eukaryota; Metazoa; Chordata; Actinopteri; Cichliformes; Cichlidae
Exons: 3
Source: RefSeq, a predicted model, not a curated record